This 690-nucleotide ribosomal RNA is filed under the name Staphylococcus aureus. RNAcentral describes it as "partial 23S ribosomal RNA". It matches the Rfam family "Bacterial large subunit ribosomal RNA", at positions 1601 to 2292 of the family's 2925-position model. The record is from RNAcentral. Lineage: Bacteria; Bacillati; Bacillota; Bacilli; Caryophanales; Staphylococcaceae.
CACACUGCCGAGAAAAGCCUCUAGAUAGAAAAUAGGUGCCCGUACCGCAAACCGACACAGGUAGUCAAGAUGAGAAUUCUAAGGUGAGCGAGCGAACUCUCGUUAAGGAACUCGGCAAAAUGACCCCGUAACUUCGGGAGAAGGGGUGCUCUUUAGGGUUAACGCCCAGAAGAGCCGCAGUGAAUAGGCCCAAGCGACUGUUUAUCAAAAACACAGGUCUCUGCUAAACCGUAAGGUGAUGUAUAGGGGCUGACGCCUGCCCGGUGCUGGAAGGUUAAGAGGAGUGGUUAGCUUCUGCGAAGCUACGAAUCGAAGCCCCAGUAAACGGCGGCCGUAACUAUAACGGUCCUAAGGUAGCGAAAUUCCUUGUCGGGUAAGUUCCGACCCGCACGAAAGGCGUAACGAUUUGGGCACUGUCUCAACGAGAGACUCGGUGAAAUCAUAGUACCUGUGAAGAUGCAGGUUACCCGCGACAGGACGGAAAGACCCCGUGGAGCUUUACUGUAGCCUGAUAUUGAAAUUCGGCACAGCUUGUACAGGAUAGGUAGGAGCCUUUGAAACGUGAGCGCUAGCUUACGUGGAGGCGCUGGUGGGAUACUACCCUAGCUGUGUUGGCUUUCUAACCCGCACCACUUAUCGUGGUGGGAGACAGUGUCAGGCGGGCAGUUUGACUGGGGCGGUCGCCUCCUA